RNAcentral lists this long non-coding RNA (1812 nucleotides) under Homo sapiens (human). Its description in RNAcentral is "non-protein coding lnc-RAP2C-3:1". The record is from RNAcentral. Lineage: Eukaryota; Metazoa; Chordata; Mammalia; Primates; Hominidae.
UGUUUUACUAUUUCUAAGGUGGUUCCCAUGAUGGCAUUUCUUGAUAAGCCCACUUUGAGCCGUUUAAUGUUUUGUAGGUGUUUCUGUGAGUCUGAUAAUACCAGCACUAAAAACAGUUCAGUAUAUAGACAUUUACAAGAGGUCUUAGGCCUCUUCAGAAUUCAGUUAAUGUCUUUCUCUUUGAGGCUGCUGAAUGUUAGGUAAGAAUUCAGGGCAAGCAUUCCCGACCAUCAUCAAAUUGGAGACUUGGAGUUUCUAUUGGCUGGAAGAAAGUUGACCCACAGGCAAAACCAGAUGUAAACCAAGUUUGUCUUGGGUACUUUUCAAAUUCUUUUCACAGCAUCCUUUUCUCAUCCCUCAUGGUGGCCUCUGGCCCUGGAAAAUCCUCAUGAUAGCAACUUAUCAGGCCUGUUUCCUCUGAUAGAUCUGGACUUUUCCCCUUAAGUGCUUUCCUGUUGGGCUUCUCAGACUAUGGAGAACUGCUCAUAGUUGAGAUCUAAGAGACAAAUUACCCUAUGGUGUUCAAGAAUGGCCGUAUUUAGUAUACUGCCUGUCCUGGAAGUGUUCACAUUUAAAAAGGCAUGACUUUCCAAUGGGCAAAUAUCAGACACCUACAUGCAUAGAUAAGGGAAAUAUGUUUUACUUAAGCAAACUUCUAGGCAUUGAAUCUCAGUGUUUAGGUGCAGAGAUGGAAUUCCUAUAAGCAAUGCAGUCAUUCACCACAUCAGGAAGGCCAAAAAAUGAACACUCUCGUAAUUUUGUUAUUAUCUGGAAAGUUCUGAUAUGAUAAUGAACCUAAAAUACUGAAUAGAUAGUGAACAUCCUAAAAUUCCACUGACCAGAAUCCAUUCCCAUGGUCAUCAUCUGUAGAGGGCAUGAUACAAUGACAGGCCUGAGGUAUGAUUAUAAUUCUGGAGUAAUUUAAAGCCUAUAUUUGUUAAACUUUAACAGAUGGACACACAUUCUCUGAUUUUCUACUUGGCUCUUUCCUGUACUAGAAAUGCGCAUUUAACUAAACCUUCCCAGCUUUUCUGUUCAGUGCCUGACUUACACUACUCCCUUAGGCAGGAGGACAGUGGGUGUCUGGGGAAUAAAAGCCAAGAGCUCCAAACAGAGGAUUUUGGAUACAAAGGGCAGCCACCAGGAAAUAGCUUUGUGAGAGGGACAGACUAUCUGAUUCCCAUUUGUACAAACAUGUCCAAAGCAAAAGCACAGCAUUCUAAAGUGGAUGCAGAAAUUAGUAUACAAUGGCAGUUCUGGCCAGUGCAGCCCAGCAUUUUUCUGUUGUGCAUGGAAAGAACACAGUGAAAAGGCAGGCAGGGCAUCCGGUGCAAAGUGCAACAGACAUAGACACACAAAUCCAGUUUUCCUGAUGAGAGAGGGAGCUAUCUCUUCAUAAGUGAUGCAAUGCAAUGCAGGCAUGUACAAGUACAAGGAAAGAUUUAUUUUUAAAAAAUCAUAGUGUAACUGGAUGAAUACCAGCAACAGCACCUGCUAAAGCAAACAGCCUGUUCAUUAAAAACUGGACUUGAGGGAAUGGAGAAAGAAUCUGAGGAGCCUGCAGUCAGCAUGCUUGCAGAGACCUUAUGGCUACAGAAGACGAUGAUUAACCCAUAGAGGUUCAAUGUAGUUUUCAAGAAGAGGGUGGGAAAGCAUAAGAUGGGGACUAAGACUUUGCCUUUAACCUUCAUGACAUGAAGAAUUGAAUGACUCUUUGUUGGAAAAAAUGGCAGUUAUGAGAUAAUUGGAUCCAUGUUAAUUAUAUAUAUUUCUGUAUAUAUAGUAAGUGGUUAUUGAUGUGCCUUUGUUAAC